RNAcentral lists this ribosomal RNA (253 nucleotides) under uncultured bacterium. RNAcentral's name for it is "partial 16S ribosomal RNA". It matches the Rfam family "Bacterial small subunit ribosomal RNA", at positions 524 to 776 of the family's 1533-position model. The record is from RNAcentral.
UACGUAGGUGGCAAGCGUUGUCCGGAAUUAUUGGGCGUAAAGCGCGCGCAGGUGGUUUCUUAAGUCUGAUGUGAAAGCCCACGGCUCAACCGUGGAGGGUCAUUGGAAACUGGGGAACUUGAGUGCAGGAGAGAAGAGUGGAAUUCCACGUGUAGCGGUGAAAUGCGCAGAUAUCAGGAAGAACACCCGUGGCGAAGGCGGCUCUCUGGGACGGUACUGACGCUGAGACGCGAAAGCGUGGGGAGCGAACAGG